This 256-nucleotide ribosomal RNA is filed under the name uncultured bacterium. RNAcentral's name for it is "partial 16S ribosomal RNA". It matches the Rfam family "Bacterial small subunit ribosomal RNA", at positions 98 to 354 of the family's 1533-position model. The record is from RNAcentral.
CGGGACGGGUGAGUAACGCGUGGAAAACCUGCCGUAUACUGGGGGAUAACACUUAGAAAUAGGUGCUAAUACCGCAUAAGCGCACAGCUUCGCAUGAAGCAGUGUGAAAAACUCCGGUGGUAUACGAUGGUUCCGCGUCUGAUUAGCUAGUUGGUGAGGUAAAAGCCCACCAAGGCAACGAUCAGUAGCCGGCCUGAGAGGGUGAACGGCCACAUUGGGACUGAGACACGGCCCAGACUCCUACGGAAGGCAGCAG